AGCAGCCGCGGUAAUUCCAGCUCCAAUAGCGUAUAUUAAAGUUGUUGCAGUUAAAAAGCUCGUAGUUGAAUUUCGGGAUCAAUAUGUCGGUCGUGCCUUCGGUACGUACUGGUAUCAUUGGUCUCUCCUUUCUGACGAACCAUGAUGUCAUUAAUUUGGUGUUAUGGGGAGUUAGGAUUGUUACUUUGAAAAAUUAGAGUGUUUAAAGCAGGCUUUAGCUUGAAUACAUUAGCAUGGAAUAAUGAAAUAGGACGUUCGAACCUAUUUUGUUGGUUUCUAGGAUCAACGUAAUGAUUAAUAGGGAUAGUUGGGGGCAUUAGUAUUCAAUUGUCAGAGGUGAAAUUCUUGGAUUUAUUGAAGACUAAUUACUGCGAAAGCAUUUGCCAAGGAUGUUUUCAUUAAUCAAGAACGAAAGUUAGGGGAUCGAAGACGAUCAGAUACCGUCGUAGUCUUAACCAUAAACUAUGCCGACUAGGGAUCGGAUGAUGUUAAUUUUUAAUGACUCAUUCGGCGCCUUAAC
RNAcentral lists this unclassified non-coding RNA (520 nucleotides) under uncultured Glomus. RNAcentral's name for it is "SSU rRNA". It matches the Rfam family "Eukaryotic small subunit ribosomal RNA", at positions 569 to 1092 of the family's 1831-position model. Lineage: Eukaryota; Fungi; Glomeromycota; Glomeromycetes; Glomerales; Glomeraceae. The record is from RNAcentral.